RNAcentral lists this ribosomal RNA (274 nucleotides) under uncultured bacterium. RNAcentral describes it as "partial 16S ribosomal RNA". It matches the Rfam family "Bacterial small subunit ribosomal RNA", at positions 523 to 796 of the family's 1533-position model. The record is from RNAcentral.
AUACGGAGGGUGCAAGCGUUACUCGGAAUCACUGGGCGUAAAGCGCGCGCAGGCGGCUAUUUAAGUUGGAUGUGAAAGCCUAUGGCUCAACCAUAGAACUGCAUCCAAAACUAUUUAGCUAGAGUGUGGGAGAGGAAGAUGGAAUUAGUUGUGUAGGGGUAAAAUCCGUAGAGAUAACUAGGAAUACCAAAAGCGAAGGCAAUCUUCUGGAACACUACUGACGCUGAGGCGCGAAAGCGUGGGGAGCAAACGGGAUUAGAAACCCUAGUAGUCC